AUGCUUGGUGGAGAUCCUAGUAGCUAUUGCCAUGAUUUCUUUGUGCCCAAUGCUAUUGAUGCUUGUUGUGUGGGGAGAGUCAUUAUGCCCCAUUGUUAUUUACACAUGGCCUCUCGCCAAUACAUUGAUGAUAUUUUGCUCAUAUCUUGCUUUCGUGCUUGUGAUAUGUCAUAUGCAUUGUGUAUGCCCACUAUUUGCACACAUGACAUGCUUGCCAUGAUUCCUUCUAGUAUGUUGCAUCUUCGCACUACUAUCUUGCUUGACUUGAUCACUAUGAUUAAUUGCCUUGUCGCAUCACCCAUGUUCCAUUCUUACUCGCUUUCUUGGGUUGAUGACGUAUAUGUUCAUGCCUUUCACAUGAUAUAUCUUGAUCAUCGUCGCUUGUCUGCAUUAGUUGCAACUCUCAUAUCCACUUGUAGUUAG
This 423-nucleotide ribosomal RNA is filed under the name Triticum aestivum (bread wheat). Its description in RNAcentral is "partial small subunit ribosomal RNA". The record is from RNAcentral. Lineage: Eukaryota; Viridiplantae; Streptophyta; Magnoliopsida; Poales; Poaceae.